AGGGGACCACUAUCAUUCUAAUCCUAUAAUUUUUAAUCCAAAGAUCAAAAAGUUGAAAACACUAACUUCUUUAUACUUCUGAAAAUAUAAUAAUUUUACAAUAUAUAUAUAUAUAUAAUUGAGCUCCUAUACUUUUAAAAAUAUCAAGUCAUUGGUGCUUGUAAGUUUUCGGCCCUUAGAUUAAAGAAUGUGCGGUUAGGAUGAUGUGGGUCCCCUAGGGUUGAGUGGUGGUUGGUUGAAUAGUAUAAUCUAACAGUUGAAAAUGAUCAAAGGUAUAGAUCUAACGGUAAAAAAUUUACAAGCACCAAGUGCUUGGUGUUUUUACAAGCAUCAUAGCCGGACUAUAUAUAUAUAUAUAUAUAUAACCAUGGUAGCUUUCAUGCUAACGAGUCUUUUUCGAUGUUGGGAUUUCCGAAUCGACGAUCGAUUUCGUUGGACUUAACUUUGAGUAUUAAAAAUAUCUAAAAAAUAAAUUUUAUGAUUUAUCGAUAUCACUUAACUAAUGAUCAAAAGAGCUUAAGAUCAACGACUGAAAAUAAAUAUCUCACAAAACAUAACGAUGUGAUGCUAAGAUGUUAGAUAAAAAAUAUUGGUCUUAUUUUACAUAGUAUAAAAAAAAAUUUAUCAAAAUUUUACGUGAUUUCUGAGGUUUCGGCUGCCUCACUCUGUGUAGCUUAAUUCAUUUAUUUAAUAAAUGAAGCGGGUAGCGUGCUAUAUGUCUCUAAAAAGAAAAAAAAUUAUGUGAUUUGAAUAUUUUUAUACUUUAAACUUGCAAACACUUAUUACGACCAUUAAAAUUAUUAAUUUUGGAGCAGUUCGAUAACUAGAUAAAGGAUAUCGAAAAAUAGCUAAAUAUAUUUUAUAGAUACUUCAAACUCUUUAAAUCAGUUUAAUGAAGCCGAUUUUCGAUUCAAAAGUCACGGCAUCGAAAAUCACUUAAUAGCAGAAAAGUUACCAUGCUUCUAAAAGCAAACUAGCCU
RNAcentral lists this long non-coding RNA (980 nucleotides) under Ananas comosus (pineapple). Its description in RNAcentral is "long non-coding RNA (ACOM_LNC011263)". The record is from RNAcentral. Lineage: Eukaryota; Viridiplantae; Streptophyta; Magnoliopsida; Poales; Bromeliaceae.